This 468-nucleotide ribosomal RNA is filed under the name uncultured bacterium. RNAcentral's name for it is "partial 16S ribosomal RNA". It matches the Rfam family "Bacterial small subunit ribosomal RNA", at positions 28 to 507 of the family's 1533-position model. The record is from RNAcentral.
GACGAACGCUGGCGGCGUGCUUAACACAUGCAAGUCGAACGGAAAGGCCCUGCUUUUGUGGUGUGCUCGAGUGGCGAACGGGUGAGUAACACGUGAGUAACCUGCCCUUGACUUUGGGAUAACUUCAGGAAACUGGGGCUAAUACCGGAUAGGAGCUCCUGCUGCAUGGUGGGGGUUGGAAAGGUUCGGCGGUUGGGGAUGGACGCGCGGCUUAUCAGCUUGUUGGUGGGGUAGUGGCUGACCAAGGGUUUGACGGGUAGCCGGCCUGGGAGGGUGACCGGCGACCUGGGUCCUGAGGGACGGACCAGACGGCUACGGGAGGCAGCAGUGGGGAGUAUGGCACAGUGGGCGGAAGCCUGAGGAAGAAGCGCCGCGUGCGGAAUGACGGCCUUCGGGUGGUAAACCGCUUUCGCCUGUGACGAAGCGUGAUUGACGGUAAUGGGUAAAGAAGCACCGGCUAACUACGUG